GGAAAGAUAAGCUAAAUUUAAGCUCACAGGUUCAUACCCUGUUUAUGGAGAUUACUCCUCUUUCUA
Molecule: transfer RNA, 66 nt
Filed under: unidentified
Description: Epeorus sp. 06 ZXM-2022a tRNA-Met
Source: RNAcentral